GAUGAACGCUAGCGGCAGGCCUAACACAUGCAAGUCGAGGGGGUAGAGUUCUUCGGGACUUGAGACCGGCGCACGGGUGCGUAACGCGUAUGCAAUCUACCUUAUACAGGGGAAUAGCCCCAGAGAAAUUUGGAUUAAUGCCCCCAUAGUGUUAUCGAAUCGCAUGGUUUGAUAACUAAAGUUCCAACGGUAUAAGAUGAGCAUGCGUCCCAUUAGUUAGUUGGUAAGGUAACGGCUUACCAAGACAAUGAUGGGUAGGGGUCCUGAGAGGGAGAUCCCCCACACUGGUACUGAGACACGGACCAGACUCCUACGGGAGGCAGCAGUGAGGAAUAUUGGUCAAUGGGCGCAAGCCUGAACCAGCCAUGCCGCGUGCAGGAAGACGGUCCUAGUGGAUUGUAAACUGAC
Molecule: ribosomal RNA, 408 nt
Filed under: uncultured bacterium
Lineage: Bacteria
Description: bacterial SSU rRNA
Rfam family: Bacterial small subunit ribosomal RNA
Source: RNAcentral